RNAcentral lists this ribosomal RNA (393 nucleotides) under Streptococcus sp. RNAcentral describes it as "bacterial SSU rRNA". It matches the Rfam family "Bacterial small subunit ribosomal RNA", at positions 385 to 774 of the family's 1533-position model. The record is from RNAcentral. Lineage: Bacteria; Bacillati; Bacillota; Bacilli; Lactobacillales; Streptococcaceae.
GACGAGCACGCCGCGUGAGUGAGAGGUUUUCGGAUCGUAAAGCUCUGUUGUAAGAGAAGAACGAGUGUGAGAGUGGAAAGUUCACACUGUGACGGUAUCUUACCAGAAAGGGACGGCUAACUACGUGCCAGCAGCCGCGGUAAUACGUAGGUCCCGAGCGUUGUCCGGAUUUAUUGGGCGUAAAGCGAGCGCAGGCGGUUAGAUAAGUCUGAAGUUAAAGGCUGUGGCUUAACCAUAGUACGCUUUGGAAACUGUUUAACUUGAGUGCAAGAGGGGAGAGUGGAAUUCCAUGUGUAGCGGUGAAAUGCGUAGAUAUAUGGAGGAACACCGGUGGCGAAAGCGGCUCUCUGGCUUGUAACUGACGCUGAGGCUCGAAAGCGUGGGGAGCAAACA